This 497-nucleotide ribosomal RNA is filed under the name uncultured bacterium. RNAcentral's name for it is "partial 16S ribosomal RNA". It matches the Rfam family "Bacterial small subunit ribosomal RNA", at positions 28 to 507 of the family's 1533-position model. The record is from RNAcentral.
GAUGAACGCUGGCGGCGUGCCUAAUACAUGCAAGUCGAGCGAACAGACGAGGAGCUUGCUCCUCUGACGUUAGCGGCGGACGGGUGAGUAACACGUGGAUAACCUACCUAUAAGACUGGGAUAACUUCGGGAAACCGGAGCUAAUACCGGAUAAUAUAUUGAACCGCAUGGUUCAAUAGUGAAAGACGGUUUUGCUGUCACUUAUAGAUGGAUCCGCGCCGCAUUAGCUAGUUGGUAAGGUAACGGCUUACCAAGGCAACGAUGCGUAGCCGACCUGAGAGGGUGAUCGGCCACACUGGAACUGAGACACGGUCCAGACUCCUACGGGAGGCAGCAGUAGGGAAUCUUCCGCAAUGGGAGAAAGCCUGACGGAGUAACGCCGCGUGAGUGAUGAAGGUCUUCGGAUCGUAAAACUCUGUUAUUAGGGAAGAACAAAUGUGUAAGUAACUAUGCACGUCUUGACGGUACCUAAUCAGAAAGCCACGGCUAACUACGUG